Molecule: long non-coding RNA, 376 nt
Filed under: Mytilus galloprovincialis (Mediterranean mussel)
Lineage: Eukaryota; Metazoa; Mollusca; Bivalvia; Mytilida; Mytilidae
Source: RNAcentral
UUGGGGAAUGGGGUGGUUAUAAAAGGCUCGCCUCCGGAUGCAGGAAUUUCUCGCUGCAUUGGUGGCCUUCGGCUGCUGUCUGCUCUUUAAUUUGGUCGGGUUGUUGUCUCUUUGAAAUAUUCCCCGUUUCCAUUCUCAAUUUUAUAUUUUAUGUUUUACUUUGUUCUGUAUUUGUUUUGCUGUUAUUUUUUCUCUCUCUCAUUUACCUGUUUUUUGUCGUUGAUGGUAUCUUAUUUAAUUGUUCUCAUUUGGCGCAUUCUUUAUUUCUCAACGAAAUGAUUUUCUGUUCCUUAGAAUACAAUUUAAGUAAAGAUGUUCUUAAGUGUCAUGUGAUUUUCUCCCAAGUAAAGUUUUCAAUUGUGCAUUUCCCUAAAAU